RNAcentral lists this ribosomal RNA (406 nucleotides) under uncultured bacterium. RNAcentral's name for it is "partial 16S ribosomal RNA". It matches the Rfam family "Bacterial small subunit ribosomal RNA", at positions 30 to 526 of the family's 1533-position model. The record is from RNAcentral.
AUUGAACGCUGGCGGCAGGCCUAACACAUGCAAGUCGAACGAGUGGCGGACGGGUGAGUAAUGUAUGGGAAACUGCCAGAUGGAGGGGGAUAACUACUGGAAACGGUAGCUAAUACCGCAUAACAUCGGAGGUGCCCAGAUGGGAUUAGCUAGUGGGUGGGGUAAAGGCUCACCUAGGCGACGAUCCCUAGCUGGUCUGAGAGGAUGAACAGCCACACUGGAACUGAGACACGGUCCAGACUCCUACGGGAGGCAGCAGUGGGGAAUAUUGCACAAUGGGCGCAAGCCGGAUGCAGCCAUGCCGCGUGUAUGAAGAAGGCCUUCGGGUUGUAAAGUACUUUCAGCGGGGAAGCGUUACCCGAAGAAUAAGCACCGGCUAACUCCGUGCCAGCAGCCGCGGUAAUAC